AAAAAGGCAAACCGUGGAUUCCCGUGCCAACGUUUGACUGUUCGUCUUAUAUGAAAUUUUUUUAUAAUUAGUAUUUUCAUUGUUGUUAGAUGAUAAAACAUGAUUAAUACUUUAUACGUGACUUAUUUUUUUAAUUUUUUUUAAAUAAAACGAAUAGUCAAACGUUGAACAUGGAAACCAGGGUUUGUCUUUUU
This 194-nucleotide microRNA precursor is filed under the name Oryza glumipatula. RNAcentral describes it as "MIR812 microRNA precursor family". It matches the Rfam family "MIR812 microRNA precursor family". Lineage: Eukaryota; Viridiplantae; Streptophyta; Magnoliopsida; Poales; Poaceae. The record is from Rfam by way of RNAcentral.